RNAcentral lists this ribosomal RNA (460 nucleotides) under uncultured bacterium. Its description in RNAcentral is "bacterial SSU rRNA". It matches the Rfam family "Bacterial small subunit ribosomal RNA", at positions 339 to 796 of the family's 1533-position model. The record is from RNAcentral.
CUACGGGAGGCAGCAGUGAGGAAUAUUGGGCAAUGGGCGCAAGCCUGAUCCAGCUAUCCCGCGUGCAGGAUGACGGCCCUAUGGGUUGUAAACUGCUUUUAGUAGGGACGAAACGCUCCGAUUUAUCGGAGCCUGACGGUACCUACAGAAUAAGCACCGGCUAACUCCGUGCCAGCAGCCGCGGUAAUACGGAGGGUGCAAGCGUUAUCCGGAAUCACUGGGUUUAAAGGGUGCGUAGGUUGCUUGAUAAGUCAGGGGUGAAAGCCCACCGCUCAACGGUGGAAUUGCCUUUGAUACUGUCAGGCUUGAAUAAGGUUGAGGUCGGCGGAAUGUGUCAUGUAGCGGUGAAAUGCAUAGAUAUGAUAUAGAACACCAAUUGCGAAGGCAGCUGGCUAGACCUUUAUUGACACUGAGGCACGAAAGCGUGGGUAGCGAACAGGAUUAGAUACCCGAGUAGUCC